AUGAACGCUGGCGGCGUGCCUAAUACAUGCAAGUCGAGCGAACAGACGAGGAGCUUGCUCCUCUGACGUUAGCGGCGGACGGGUGAGUAACACGUGGAUAACCUACCUAUAAGACUGGGAUAACUUCGGGAAACCGGAGCUAAUACCGGAUAAUAUAUUGAACCGCAUGGUUCCAUAGUGAAAGACGGUUUUGCUGUCACUUAUAGAUGGAUCCGCGCCGCAUUAGCUAGUUGGUAAGGUAACGGCUUACCAAGGCAACGAUGCGUAGCCGACCUGAGAGGGUGAUCGGCCACACUGGAACUGAGACACGGUCCAGACUCCUACGGGAGGCAGCAGUAGGGAAUCUUACGCAAUGGGCGAAAGCCUGACGGAGCAACGCCGCGUGAGUGAUGAAGGUCUUCGGAUCGUAAAACUCUGUUAUUAGGGAAGAACAAAUGUGUAAGUAACUAUGCACGUCUUGACGGUACCUAAUCAGAAAGCCACGGCUAACUACGUG
Molecule: ribosomal RNA, 496 nt
Filed under: uncultured bacterium
Lineage: Bacteria
Description: partial 16S ribosomal RNA
Rfam family: Bacterial small subunit ribosomal RNA
Source: RNAcentral